UACGUAGGGUGCAAGCGUUGUCCGGAAUUAUUGGGCGUAAAGAGCUCGUAGGCGGUUUGUCGCGUCUGCUGUGAAAACCCAGGGCUCAACCCUGGGCCUGCAGUCGAUACGGGCAGACUAGAGUCCGGCAGGGGAGACUGGAAUUCCUGGUGUAGCGGUGAAAUGCGCAGAUAUCAGGAGGAACACCGGUGGCGAAGGCGGAUCUCUGGGCCGAUACUGACGCUGAGGAGCGAAAGCGUGGGGAGCGAACAGG
RNAcentral lists this ribosomal RNA (253 nucleotides) under uncultured bacterium. RNAcentral's name for it is "partial 16S ribosomal RNA". It matches the Rfam family "Bacterial small subunit ribosomal RNA", at positions 524 to 776 of the family's 1533-position model. The record is from RNAcentral.